This 1331-nucleotide ribosomal RNA is filed under the name Gnathiphimedia sexdentata. RNAcentral's name for it is "partial 28S ribosomal RNA". It matches the Rfam family "Eukaryotic large subunit ribosomal RNA", at positions 107 to 846 of the family's 3401-position model. Lineage: Eukaryota; Metazoa; Arthropoda; Malacostraca; Amphipoda; Iphimediidae. The record is from RNAcentral.
GCCCAGCGCAUAACCUCCCGGGCUACCAAGCCUGCGGCGGAAUGUUGCGUUAAAGGAAAGGUCGUUAUAAAGCCCUGCACAGCGUAUUCCUAAGUUUGGCUGGAAUCUUCCACUGUUUUUUAACGAAAACAUCGGCUCCAUAGAGGGUGAUAGACCCGUGUGGCUACGUGGAUAUGUGCGUGGGUUCGGCUUUUUUCCUUGAGAGUCGCGUUGCUUGAACAUGCAGCGCUAAGCAGGACGUAAACUCGUCCUAAGGCUAAAUAUUUCCACAGAACCGAUAGUAAACAAGUACCGUGAGGGAAAGUUGAAAAGCACUCUGAAGAGAGAGUCAAAAGACCGUGAAACCGUUUAGAGUAUAAGCCAAUGGUUAUCCGGAAGGCAUGGAGCAGGCACAUACCGAUUCCCGAUUGUGGGAAAAUGGUCAAAGCUGUCGUGUGUGAUAAAGAACGAAGGCAAGGAAUUGUGGAAACGAACCAACAGUGGCAUUGAGUUGAUAGCACUCCUGUGAAAACUCGCGGGUCUCUGACAGUGGUAACUGGUAAGGUUCUUUGAGGAUCCGAACCUAGGCUGGGCUUGAGCGAGCUCCUGCUUUGAGUCAUACGUACGAGUUGCUUAUUAUACAGCCCACCACAACUCUUUAUAAGGUCACCCGCAUAAGACGUGGCUCUGUGUGUUGUCGUGCGCGUUACAGCCUCUGGUUUUGUGUGUGACAUUGUCUGCAUUCAAUUACUCUAUCGAACGCCUUUAGAUGAGUAAUCUGGACCAGGGGCCGGCCGACUUCCUCAUGUCGUUCCCAAAUAUGCGUUGGUAUGAUCCUAUGUGAAGGUUGUUUUCUGACCAUCCUAAAGCCUGAACUCCAGCACAUGAGGCUGUGGGAAACAAAGUACGGAGUGGGAGCUAGUACGUGGGCGUUCUGUGGAAACAUGGUUCGUGUUGCUGGAACACUCGCCGUCGGUGGCGGAUGCGUGGUGAAUUAUUCCGGAGCCAUUGGUCACGUCUCGAAACACGGGCCAAGGAGCAUAGCAUGUGCGCAAGUCUAAGGGUCCUAUAAAACCUGGAGGCGAAGUGAAAGCGAAUUGGUGUGCGCUGUCGGCAGCCCGCAAGGGUUGUCGGCGUGCAGCUUACAUUGUUACGUAAUUCCUAUUCGGACUUCGGUCAGGGUGGAUGAAUGCGUCAUACGGCUACAACCGAGUUGAUCCUUCGUAAUAAAGCCUAAUGGCGAUACGUCGGCGCAAACUCCAGACUCUCUGUGUCGGCACUUGUGUCGUAUGAGAGUACUGUGUAGCGUGUAUGCUAUGACCCGAAAGAUAGUGAACUAUGCCUGGCGAGGG